CACUUUGCCAAGGUUGAAGCCAUGCCCGGGAAAAAGAGGCAGAAAACACAGUAGGGUGUGCAGCCCACUCCUUUUCCAAAGAGGGUUUUGGGGCUUCAAUAGUUAAAGAAAGAAGUGGCCGCAGGGGAAGGAGGAAAGGAAAAAAGGGAGGGUCAUAUUCUUGUGAGGCUGUGAUCAGUGUCCACUGCUCUCCAGGUUGCAGGUGAAAGUGGGGGCCAGAGGAACAGUUGAUUUGUGUGUGUGUGUGUGUGUUUUUUUUGAGAUGGAGCCCCACUCUGUUAUCUAGGCUGGAGUGCAGUGGCGCAAUCUCAACUCACCGCAACCUCUGCCUCCCGGGUUCAAGCGAUUCUCCUGCCUCAGCCUCCUGAGUAGCUGGGAUUACAGGCAUGCACUACCACCACGCCUGGCUAAUUUCUGUAUUUUUGUAGAGAUGGGGGUUUUGCCAUGUUGGCCAGGCUGGUCUCGAAUUCCUGACCUCAGGUGAUCCACCCGCCUCAGCCUCCCAAAGUGCGGGAUUACAGGCGUGAGCCACGAGCCACCGUGCCUGGCUGAUUUGUUGUUCGUUUACAUUUUCAGGUGAGGGAGGCCACCUGGGGAGACACGUGGCCUUCUAUCUUGUAGCUGUCUGUUUAAGAACAAAAGGAAAGGCAGGGGUUUUUUUUGUUUUUGUUUUUGUUUUUUGCAUGACUCAGUUUCUAAGCUUAACUUUUUCCUUUGGCAUAGUGAGUCUGGGGACCCAAGAUCUUAUUUUCCUUUCUGUCACCCCCGCUUGGUUUUGGAUUCCGUGACAGCUGGACCCGGCUUCUGCGUGGACAUAAUUGGAGACACUGGUUAUUUUACCAAAGCUUUGACCGGAAGGAUGUACUUUUGGAUACAAACAGACUGCUUUAAGGAGUCAAAGCUGACUUAUGAAGUUGGCCUCAUCCCUUGUCUACACAGUCACUGUACAGAGUUCCUUGCCUGUAGUAUGUAAAGAAUGUCACUUUCUGACAGGCUCAGGAGCCCCAAAUUAUCCUGGGACCUUGAGGAGAGGACAUUGCCCAAUUUAUAUAGGUAUUUUCAGGCACCAAUAAAUCAUGGCUGGGCUCAAGGCUUUAAAAAAAGUCAAAUCUGGGAUUCGUUAUAGAAUAAAGUUCCAGCAAAGCCAAUUUUAAGACAGGCCUAUAUGGCAAAUAAUUAUUCGUGCUGACAUUAUGCAAACACUCAGGCCAAGUAUAAGAUGAAAAAUUAUUUUAAAUAAAUUUGUCCUACUAUGAUUUGUCUUCAGUAAAAACAGGUACUGGGCUGGGCAUGGUGGCUCACAGCUGUAAUCCCAGCACACUGGGAGGCCAAGGCAGGCAGAUCGCUUGAGGUCAGGAGUUUGAGACCAGCCUGGCCAACAUGGUGGUGAAACACCAUCUCUACCAAAAAAUAUAAAAAUUAGCCAGGUGUGGUGGCAUGUGUCUGUAAUCCUAGCUACCCAGGAGGCUGAGGCAUGAGAAUUGCUUGAACCCAGGAGGUGGAGCUUGCCUGAGUCCUGGUAAGGCACAGACAGAAAGGGUUGUCAGCCAUUUUUUUCUGAGGUUAUAAGAUCUGCAACUUCCCCAGUUAUUC
This 1593-nucleotide long non-coding RNA is filed under the name Homo sapiens (human). Its description in RNAcentral is "HSALNT0350648". The record is from RNAcentral. Lineage: Eukaryota; Metazoa; Chordata; Mammalia; Primates; Hominidae.